Molecule: ribosomal RNA, 484 nt
Filed under: uncultured bacterium
Lineage: Bacteria
Description: partial 16S ribosomal RNA
Rfam family: Bacterial small subunit ribosomal RNA
Source: RNAcentral
AGUGAACGCUGGCGGCGUGCUUAACACAUGCAAGUCGAACGAGAACGGGCUAUAGCUUGCUAUAGUUGUCAGCUAAGUGGCGCACGGGUGAGUAAUGUAUAGGUAAUAUGCCUCUUACUAAGGGAUAACAAAUGGAAACGUUUGCUAAUACCUUAUACUCCUUAUUAACAGAAGUUAAUAAGGGAAAGAUUUAUUGGUAAGAGAUUAGCCUGUAUUGUAUCAGUUAGUUGGUGGGGUAAUGGCUUACCAAGACUAUGAAACAUAACUGGUUUGAGAGGAUGAUCAGUCACACUGGAACUGAGACACGGUCCAGACUCCUACGGGAGGCAGCAGUGGGGAAUAUUGCACAGUGGACGAAAGUCUGAUGCAGCAACGCCGCGUGGAGGAUGACACAUUUCGGUGCGUAAACUCCUUUUAUAUGAGAAGAUAAUGACGGUAUUAUAUGAAUAAGCACCGGCUAACUCCGUGCCAGCCGCCGCAGUAA